UUCGGUGGCCAUGGCGGAGGGGAAACACCCGUUCCCAUUCCGAACACGGCAGUUAAGCCUUCCUGCGCCGAUGGUACUGCCGCGGUAACGCGGUGGGAGAGUAGGUCGUCGCCGAGC
This 117-nucleotide ribosomal RNA is filed under the name Candidatus Dormiibacterota bacterium. RNAcentral also lists the same sequence under 1 other name. The record is from RNAcentral. Lineage: Bacteria; Bacillati; Candidatus Dormiibacterota.